RNAcentral lists this long non-coding RNA (740 nucleotides) under Olea europaea (common olive). RNAcentral describes it as "long non-coding RNA (OEUR_LNC010452)". Lineage: Eukaryota; Viridiplantae; Streptophyta; Magnoliopsida; Lamiales; Oleaceae. The record is from RNAcentral.
UUUCUAUUUAUAGUAUGUUUUUUUCUGUUUGAAUUGUGAUAUAGUGAUGAUGUUAAGCUUGGUUGAAAAUUUUCAAGACAAUGCAUAUGUACGUAAUAUAUGAUUUCUCAUAUCGUCUUUGGUGGACGCACUUUGAUUUAUUGGUAUUUGAUAAUACCGUGCUUGAAGACAUCGAAAAAUUAAAUCUUUACCAUUACAGACUUAAAAGACUAAUAGGUCUUUUAGUUCAUGGAUCUCUUAUCCUUGGUUUCUGUAUAUUUGGUGCUUUAUAGAAGGCAUAGGCCUAUGGAUAUGUACUAACCAGGCAUAAGCACUUUCCACUUGUCAUGUAUUAUUACAAGAAAACUUUCAGUUUGCAUGAUGUCGAGAAAAUUGUGUUGGCUUGUUUAUAUUAUUGUAUAUUUACCUUUUCUUUCCUGGCUGUGAUGAAACUUGAUACCGGGCAUAAUGUUAGGUCAUAUUCUUCAUCCCAAAGAACUUUAUUUUAUUAUAGUCUUUGUGUGAGGGGUUGACUAGAUAGAGCUUACAUAGUUUGUCGUGAUUGCUAAAGAUAUAGUUGUUUUGGAUCUUGGAGUAGAUCUACCAAUGAAUUGAAUGGCAUGGCAAUAAAGGAUUCAUAUGGCUACCUUUAAAUUAAUUAAGGACAAGGCUUUGUGAAUGGUAUUUGAUGGAAAUAAUGUGAGAAUAAUUAAUUUGUCUCUCAGUUGAUAUAUAUAAACUGCCUUUCCUGUCUAUAAUUU